GGAAUAUUGGGCAAUGGGCGCAAGCCUGACCCAGCAACACCGCGUGAAUGAUGAAGGUCUUCGGAUUGUAAAGUUCUGUGAUGGGGGACGAAGAAAGUGACGGUACCCCAAGAGCAAGCCACGGCUAACUACGUGCCAGCAGCCGCGGUAAUACGUAGGUGGCAAGCGUUGUCCGGAAUGACUGGGCGUAAAGGGUACGUAGGUGGCUAUUCAAGUUAGUUGUGAAAUCCCGGGGCUUAACUCCGGUGCUACAAUUAAGACUGUUUAGCUUGAGUGCAGGAGGGGUAAGUGGAAUUCCUAGUGUAGCGGUGGAAUGCGUAGAUAUUAGGAAGAACACCGGUGGCGAAGGCGACUUACUGGACUGUAACUGACACUGAAGUACGAAAGCGUGGGGAGCAAACA
RNAcentral lists this ribosomal RNA (402 nucleotides) under uncultured bacterium. RNAcentral describes it as "bacterial SSU rRNA". It matches the Rfam family "Bacterial small subunit ribosomal RNA", at positions 358 to 774 of the family's 1533-position model. The record is from RNAcentral.